GAUGAAGAACGUAGCGAAAUGCGAUACUUGGUGUGAAUUGCAGAAUCCCGUGAACCAUCGAGUCUUUGAACGCAAGUUGCGCCUCAAGCCAUUAGGUUGAGGGCACGUCUGCCUGGGCGUCACAUAUCGUUGCCUGAUGCCAGUUUCCUCGUGAUGGGUGACUGUGCAGGGCGAAUGAUGGCUUCCCGUGAGCAUUGUUGCCUCAUGGUUGGUUGAAAAUUGAGUCCUUGGUAGGGAGCGCCGUGAUAGAUGGUGGUUGAGUGACGAACGAGACCCAAUCAUGCGAGACCCCUACCGAAUUUGGCCUUCAUGACCCACAUGCGUCUUUGGAACGCUCAUGACGAGACCUCAGGUCAGGCGGGGCUACCCGCUGAGUUUAAGCAUAUCAAUAAGCGGAGGA
This 400-nucleotide unclassified non-coding RNA is filed under the name soil metagenome. RNAcentral describes it as "partial contains 5.8S ribosomal RNA, internal transcribed spacer 2, and large subunit ribosomal RNA". The stretch from base 1 to 122 matches the Rfam family "5.8S ribosomal RNA", at positions 35 to 154 of the family's 154-position model. The record is from RNAcentral.